GACGAACGCUGGCGGCGUGCUUAACACAUGCAAGUCGAACGGUGAACCUCUUCGGAGGGGAUCAGUGGCGCACGGGUGAGUAACACGUGGGCAACCUGCCCCCGGCUCUGGGAUAACUCCAAGAAAUUGGGGCUAAUACCGGAUGUUCACCGCUUCCCGCAUGGGUGGUGGUGGAAAGGGUUUCCGGCUGGGGAUGGGCCCGCGGCCUAUCAGCUUGUUGGUGGGGUAGUGGACUACCAAGGCGACGACGGGUAGCCGGCCUGAGAGGGUGACCUGCCACACUGGGACGGGGACACGGCCCAGACUCCUACGGGAGGCAGCAGUGGGGAAUAUUGCGCAAUGGGCGGAAGCCUGACGCAGCGACGCCGCGUGGGGGAUGACGGCCUUCGGUUUGUAUACCUCUUUCAGCAGGGACGAAGCGCAAGUGACAGUACCUGCAGAAGAAGCUCCGGCCAACUACGUG
This 463-nucleotide ribosomal RNA is filed under the name uncultured bacterium. RNAcentral describes it as "partial 16S ribosomal RNA". It matches the Rfam family "Bacterial small subunit ribosomal RNA", at positions 28 to 507 of the family's 1533-position model. The record is from RNAcentral.